Gasterosteus aculeatus aculeatus (three-spined stickleback) is the source of this 2176-nucleotide non-coding RNA. NCBI's taxonomy places the organism in Eukaryota, Metazoa, Chordata, Actinopteri, Perciformes, Gasterosteidae. The record is from RefSeq and is a predicted model, not a curated record.
AUGCACAAAUAUAUUCCAGUCACUUGCACGCCUACUUACACACAACGUGCAUGGACACACAUUCACUUCGUCGCAGACACACACACACACGCACACAGUGGUGGCACCCACACACUCGAUGUAUUGUCCUCGGCGACAUAAUAGGACAUAUUGACCGAGUCUGCGCUGGGAUAUUAGUUUAGAGUGAAUGGACAAUGCAUCUUCAGCACACACAAGGACACGCUGGUAAAGAGCCGUCCAACGAGGAGGAACCUCGGCACCUGGAAGAGGCCGCGGCUCCUUUCCACUUCAAACCUCUUAUGGUAGUUCUUCUUUUUCCAACCAGCAGCUGAGUACAGUCAGACCAGAGAUACUCCUCAGCACCUUUUCUACAGACGAGUCGAAGCAGCAACAGACGGACGCACACCACGAGAGAGAACGCUCUCACGAGCAAUGAGUGGAAGGAGUUUACCGCCUUAGCUGUCAAUCACCGCGGCCCCGCCCAGAGCACACAGGCAAGGUGUGAUGAAGUCCCGCCCACAUUGCAGGGGAAAAUGACACAUCGCUCUCCGUUGGCGUCUGCUGGUCGAAGAAAAAAGGUCAAAAAGCUGCCGUGUGGCGAUUCUUGGUCUGCUGGCGAAGCCUCUGGACCCCCAGAAGAUCUGGACCAGAUUCCUGUCGGUCACAGGUAUCACUUGACUGGCAACCCGGAAACCCGGAAGUUACCUCAAGCAGGCUGAAGAAGCCCAUUCACAGGAGAAGAUGGCUGGAGGAGAGGGGAGGGCCGGCGUGCCAGGCAUUCCACAGCAGCACACAGUGGACACAUUAUUAUGACAUUUACAAGGCCAGCUCGACGGAUGCAGCGUGAUCCGUGUGUGUGUGUGUGUGUGUGUGUGUGUGUGUGUGUGUGUGUGUAAGGAAGGGAGGUCGGCUCCCAGUGAUGGAGCCUCGGAGCGGGACGAGGCACAGAAACACAAAUCCAGUGCUGCAAACUCACGACUGCCCUUGAUACAUCGCUGGCGUGCUGCUGCUUUUUUUAAAUGACGACACUUCAUAAUGCAAAGGGAGGGAAACAGAUGCACACCUUUCGCCCCGUUCAGGAAUAUUUGGCGGGAUAAUCGCUCCCGUGUCGAGAGUGAGGUGUCUGCAGGAAUAGCAACCAGCAAAACAAGAAAUCUGAAUUAUUCCUUUAGAGUUUGAAGGUUUAACAUGAUAUUUGAGGCCAUUUAUUGCACAAACGGCCCUUUGACUGACUCCUCCGGUGAGGCCGUAUUUACAAUAUGCUAUUCACCAUAUUGCACGAACGCUUGCAUGGGAAGCGCUCCGAUCAACCUGACAACGAAUGCAUCGUUUCCAACGUCGGCCAACGCUUGCGUUGACGUCCAUGUGACUCGGAGAGCUGGAGGCUUUUAGCGUUCCCCGGGUCUCGCGGAACCCAUUAGGCCGAUUGGUCCCAGCAGCGGCCGUUUGUGACAUCGAACUCUCACGACCGGAGACGCGCAGCUUCAGCGGUCGCAGCGAGGAACGCGAUCAGGUGGAAUGUGCGUGAUGGUCACGUUGACAUUUUUUGCUGCUGGUAUGUUGUUGACAAGCGGACAAGUGAACAACACAUCCAGUCAUGGAGCCGUGAGGGACACGCGAUCCUGAACCCCGUGUCCUCAUGCCCACAAUGGGUUCAACCUUUUAUUCACCAUUGUCUGGCGAAAGUAAGUCCGUUUUACCUCUCAGCUGCUGCUGGCGGAGACGGGUGGAUGGAGAAGAGAAGGGUGAGCCGGGGCAGAAGGCGAAAGUAGACGCGAUAAACUCUCAUUUGUUUCUCUUCCUGCUGAAUGUUUCGGCCGUACAUCGCAAAGAUUCCUGUCCUGUGUGGUGUCAUCUGUUGGUGACAUACUUCUGCCCUUAUUUCUGAAAGACUGUGACCACGAGCUCAUGACCAUCAUAACUUACUUAUUCAACUAAUCGAGCUGCUAGCUGGACGGCCACAGCCAGAGGAAGUCCUGUUUCUGGAUAUGUUGUAUUGGUAACAUUACACACAUACAUAACCAGAAUCAGAAUUCUGGGGGGAAAAAAUCCAAAGAUUUUCUUCUGGAAACACGUGUUGUAUUUGGUUUGACUAAGACUGCGACAAAAUGCUGAAUAAGAGAGGGAUUUGGGAUAUUUCAACAUUGCAGUGUUAUUGAAACCAAAAGUGACACAC